UACGAAGGGUGCAAACGUUGCUCGGAAUUAUUGGGCGUAAAGCGUGCGUAGGCGGUUUCUUAAGUCUGCUGUGAAAGCCCUGGGCUCAACCUGGGAAUGGCGGUGGAUACUGAGAAGCUGGAGUACGGUAGAGGAAGGUGGAAUUCCCGGUGUAGCGGUGAAAUGCGUAGAGAUCGGGAGGAACAUCUGUGGCGAAGGCGGCCAUCUGGACCAGCACUGACACUGAGGCACGAAAGCGUGGGGAGCAAACAGG
This 253-nucleotide ribosomal RNA is filed under the name uncultured bacterium. RNAcentral's name for it is "partial 16S ribosomal RNA". It matches the Rfam family "Bacterial small subunit ribosomal RNA", at positions 524 to 776 of the family's 1533-position model. The record is from RNAcentral.